Long non-coding RNA from Leopardus geoffroyi (Geoffroy's cat), 193 nucleotides. RefSeq lists it as uncharacterized. The record is from RefSeq and is a predicted model, not a curated record. The transcript is spliced from 2 exons. Lineage: Eukaryota; Metazoa; Chordata; Mammalia; Carnivora; Felidae.
UUCUCGAGGUAGAGAGAAGAGACCUAUGCAAGGGAAGCAAUGAGCAAAAGCCCAGACAUGGGACUGAGGGUGAAAUCUCCCAGGAGAAAAAGCUGAAACUGACCUUUCCACAGGCUGCCCAGCUUCUUCCCUUCCCAAGUCCGUGUGUGGUUUGAGGAUGACCACAUUUGUCAAAGGACUUGAUGUGUGGAUG